RNAcentral lists this ribosomal RNA (496 nucleotides) under uncultured bacterium. Its description in RNAcentral is "partial 16S ribosomal RNA". It matches the Rfam family "Bacterial small subunit ribosomal RNA", at positions 28 to 506 of the family's 1533-position model. The record is from RNAcentral.
GAUGAACGCUGGCGGCGUGCCUAAUACAUGCAAGCCGAGCGAACGGACGAGAAGCUUGCUUCUCUGAUGUUAGCGGCGGACGGGUGAGUAACACGUGGAUAACCUACCUAUAAGACUGGGAUAACUUCGGGAAACCGGAGCUAAUACCGGAUAAUAUUUUGAACCGCAUGGUUCAAAAGUGAAAGACGGUCUUGCUGUCACUUAUAGAUGGAUCCGCGCUGCAUUAGCUAGUUGGUAAGGUAACGGCUUACCAAGGCAACGAUGCAUAGCCGACCUGAGAGGGUGAUCGGCCACACUGGAACUGAGACACGGUCCAGACUCCUACGGGAGGCAGCAGUAGGGAAUCUUCCGCAAUGGGCGAAAGCCUGACGGAGCAACGCCGCGUGAGUGAUGAAGGUCUUCGGAUCGUAAAACUCUGUUAUUAGGGAAGAACAUAUGUGUAAGUAACUGUGCACAUCUUGACGGUACCUAAUCAGAAAGCCACGGCUAACUACGU